AUGCAUCUCGGACAGACCUGGAGUGGUUAAUGUCUGCUGCUAAGCUUUCCACUACAGAUGCGUGGAAAAUAAAAGGUUCUCACACUUUCCAUCUGCUAGGUUGUGGCAGCCAAGGUUGAAUUGUGGAAUACAGGA
RNAcentral lists this small nucleolar RNA (135 nucleotides) under Dasypus novemcinctus (nine-banded armadillo). RNAcentral describes it as "Small nucleolar RNA SNORA31 (ENSDNOG00000045649.1)". Lineage: Eukaryota; Metazoa; Chordata; Mammalia; Cingulata; Dasypodidae. The record is from RNAcentral.